UACAGAGACUGCAAGCGUUAUUCGGAUUCACUGGGCGUAGAGGGUGCGCAGGCGGUUGGGUGUGUCAGAUGUGAAAUCCCGAGGCUUAACCUCGGAACUGCGUCUGAAACUACUCGACUAGAGUAUUGGAGAGGGUAACGGAAUUCACGGUGUAGCAGUGAAAUGCGUAGAUAUCGUGAGGAACACCAGAGGCGAAGGCGGUUACCUGGACAAUUACUGACGCUCAGGCACGAAAGCAUGGGGAGCAAAAGGG
This 253-nucleotide ribosomal RNA is filed under the name uncultured bacterium. RNAcentral's name for it is "partial 16S ribosomal RNA". It matches the Rfam family "Bacterial small subunit ribosomal RNA", at positions 524 to 776 of the family's 1533-position model. The record is from RNAcentral.